AACUCCCAACCCAAUGUGAACGUUACCAAACUGUUGCCUCGGCGGGAUCUCUGCCCCGGGUGCGUCGCAGCCCCGGACCAAGGCGCCCGCCGGAGGACCAACCUAAAACUCUUAUUGUAUACCCCCUCGCGGGUUUUUUUUAUAAUCUGAGCCUUCUCGGCGCCUCUCGUAGGCGUUUCGAAAAUGAAUCAAAACUUUCAACAACGGAUCUCUUGGUUCUGGCAUCGAUGAAGAACGCAGCGAAAUGCGAUAAGUAAUGUGAAUUGCAGAAUUCAGUGAAUCAUCGAAUCUUUGAACGCACAUUGCGCCCGCCAGUAUUCUGGCGGGCAUGCCUGUCCGAGCGUCAUUUCAACCCUCGAACCCCUCCGGGGGGUCGGCGUUGGGGAUCGGCCCUCCCUUAGCGGGUGGCCGUCUCCGAAAUACAGUGGCGGUCUCGCCGCAGCCUCUCCUGCGCAGUAGUUUGCACACUCGCAUCGGGAGCGCGGCGCGUCCACAGCCGUUAAACACCCAACUUCUGAAAUGUUGACCUCGGAUCAGGUAGGAAUACCCGCUGAACUUAA
RNAcentral lists this ribosomal RNA (560 nucleotides) under Trichoderma sp. CRCF16. RNAcentral describes it as "eukaryotic LSU rRNA". The stretch from base 193 to 346 matches the Rfam family "5.8S ribosomal RNA". Lineage: Eukaryota; Fungi; Ascomycota; Sordariomycetes; Hypocreales; Hypocreaceae. The record is from RNAcentral.